This 451-nucleotide ribosomal RNA is filed under the name uncultured bacterium A13. RNAcentral's name for it is "bacterial SSU rRNA". It matches the Rfam family "Bacterial small subunit ribosomal RNA", at positions 8 to 438 of the family's 1533-position model. The record is from RNAcentral.
CAGAGUUUGAUCAUGGCUCAGGAUGAACGCUGGCGGCGUGCUUAACACAUGCAAGUCGAACGAAGCACUUUAUUUGAUUUCCUUCGGGACUAAUUAUUUUGUGACUGAGUGGCGGACGGGUGAGUAACGCGUGGGUAACCUGCCUUGUACAGGGGGAUAACAGUUGGAAACGGCUGCUAAUACCGCAUAAGCGCACAGCAUCGCAUGAUGCAGUGUGAAAAACUCCGGUGGUAUAAGAUGGACCCGCGUUGGAUUAGCUAGUUGGUGAGGUAACGGCCCACCAAGGCGACGAUCCAUAGCCGACCUGAGAGGGUGACCGGCCACAUUGGGACUGAGACACGGCCCAAACUCCUACGGGAGGCAGCAGUGGGGAAUAUUGCACAAUGGGCGAAAGCCUGAUGCAGCGACGCCGCGUGAGCGAAGAAGUAUUUCGGUAUGUAAAGCUCUAUCG